This 748-nucleotide ribosomal RNA is filed under the name uncultured Bacteroidales bacterium. RNAcentral describes it as "bacterial SSU rRNA". It matches the Rfam family "Bacterial small subunit ribosomal RNA", at positions 41 to 776 of the family's 1533-position model. Lineage: Bacteria; Pseudomonadati; Bacteroidota; Bacteroidia; Bacteroidales. The record is from RNAcentral.
UACAGGCUUAACACAUGCAAGUCGAGGGGCAGCAUGGUCUUAGCUUGCUAAGGCUGAUGGCGACCGGCGCACGGGUGAGUAACACGUAUCCAACCUGCCGUCUACUCUUGGCCAGCCUUCUGAAAGGAAGAUUAAUCCAGGAUGGCAUCAUGAGUUCACAUGUCCGCAUGAUUAAAGGUAUUUUCCGGUAGACGAUGGGGAUGCGUUCCAUUAGAUAGUAGGCGGGGUAACGGCCCACCUAGUCAACGAUGGAUAGGGGUUCUGAGAGGAAGGUCCCCCACAUUGGAACUGAGACACGGUCCAAACUCCUACGGGAGGCAGCAGUGAGGAAUAUUGGUCAAUGGGCGAUGGCCUGAACCAGCCAAGUAGCGUGAAGGAUGACUGCCCUAUGGGUUGUAAACUUCUUUUAUAAAGGAAUAAAGUCGGGUAUGCAUACCCGUUUGCAUGUACUUUAUGAAUAAGGAUCGGCUAACUCCGUGCCAGCAGCCGCGGUAAUACGGAGGAUCCGAGCGUUAUCCGGAUUUAUUGGGUUUAAAGGGAGCGUAGAUGGAUGUUUAAGUCAGUUGUGAAAGUUUGCGGCUCAACCGUAAAAUUGCAGUUGAUACUGGAUGUCUUGAGUGCAGUUGAGGCAGGCGGAAUUCGUGGUGUAGCGGUGAAAUGCUUAGAUAUCACGAAGAACUCCGAUUGCGAAGGCAGCCUGCUAAGCUGCAACUGACAUUGAGGCUCGAAAGUGUGGGUAUCAAACAGG